RNAcentral lists this ribosomal RNA (505 nucleotides) under uncultured bacterium. RNAcentral's name for it is "partial 16S ribosomal RNA". It matches the Rfam family "Bacterial small subunit ribosomal RNA", at positions 28 to 507 of the family's 1533-position model. The record is from RNAcentral.
GACGAACGCUGGCGGCGUGCCUAAUACAUGCAAGUAGAACGCACAGUCUAUACUGUAGCUUGCUACACCAUAGACUGUGAGUUGUGAACGGGUGAGUAACGCGUAGGUAACCUGCCUGGUAGCGGGGGAUAACUAUUGGAAACGAUAGCUAAUACCGCAUAAUAUUAAUUAUUGCAUGAUAAUUAAUUGAAAGGUGCAAUUGCACCACUACCAGAUGGACCUGCGUUGUAUUAGCUAGUAGGUGAGGUAACGGCUCACCUAGGCGACGAUACAUAGCCGACCUGAGAGGGUGGUCGGCCACACUGGGACUGGGACACGGCCCAGACUCCUACGGGAGGCAGCAGUAGGGAAUCUUCGGCAAUAGACGAAAGUCUGACCGAGCAACGCCGCGUGAGUGAAGAAGGUGUUCGGAUCGUAAAGCUCUGUUGUAAGAGGAGAACGGGUGUGGGAGUGGAAAGUUCACACUGUGACGGUAUCUUACCAGAAAGGGACGGCUAACUACGUG